GAAAUGCGAUACGUAAUGCGAAUUGCAGAAUUCAGUGAAUCAUCAAAUUUUUGAACGCAUCUUGCGCUUUCGGGUGACCGAGAGCAUGCCUCUUUGAGUAUCGUUUCAAACCACACUCGGCUGCGACCUUUUUGAAAAAACGGGUUAGCAAUGGUCCGGAUAAUGAGAGUCCCCACUUUUUUUGUGGCGUCUCUUGAAAUGUGUAUGACUUUUUUGUCUGUUAUUCUUCCAGUAGAGCGAGAGUUCUUACUUUUUCUGGUUGAUGCUUGAUACUUGACUUCGGUCAUUCUCUGCAUCUGACUUUUGAUAAUAAGAACAAUAUUUCUUUCUUUAUGGGGAUUUGUAACAUGAUAGGUCUUCAAGGAAAAACACUUGAUAACUCGAUCUCAAAUGAAGCAAG
Molecule: unclassified non-coding RNA, 400 nt
Filed under: uncultured fungus
Lineage: Eukaryota; Fungi
Description: sequence contains ITS1
Rfam family: 5.8S ribosomal RNA (bases 1-103)
Source: RNAcentral